UUAUCCUCGAGCGAUUGCAGCUAUUGUCUACGACAGGCAGCAAGUGCUUAUAAUAACUGUUGCCAUGGGAAGCAAGGAGGUUAUGUUACGAAGCCUAGUUGUACACUCCGAUGGGAUUUGUACCCAUUCUAUACUCCUAUAGCUGAACCUCCAACACCAUCUCCUCCACCUCUACUUAGUAUUUCUCCCCCUUCAAUCAAUAAUACAAUGAAAGGUAGCUAUUGUUAAUUAGUUCACUUUCAUUUUGUGUUAAGCAUAUCUAUCUUAUUUUUUCUUUUAUUUGGACUUUUGUCCAUUAAUUUGUUGUUAAUUUUUCUAAAUUAGCCAUAAUUUAAUGGGAUCAGACUGGCUUUUGCAGGGGAGAAGAGCAAUGAAGCACGUACGAUUGCUAUCAUAGUUGUUCCAAUAAUUGUCGGCACUGUAAUUCUUGUCAUCUGUUUCUGCAUCUUUUUAAGAGUUCGGAAGCCAAGGGAAAGUUUUGAAAGUAAGUAAAUAUUGGCUUACUUAAAUUCCAUUAUUAUUUUCAAAACCUGUGAUAGAAAAGCCAUUGAGAUGUUGUGCACUAACCAUUGGCUUUGCACCUCUCAUAAAGCUGAUGAAAUAAAAAAUGUGGAGUCAUUGCAAUUCGAUUUUGGGACUAUUAGAGUUGCAACAAAUAACUUUUCUGAAGAAAAUAAGCUUGGACAAGGUGGAUUUGGUGCUGUUUACAAGGGCACGCUUUCUGAUGGACGAGACAUAGCAGUGAAAAGGCUUUCUAAAGAUUCAGGACAAGGAGAUUUGGAAUUUAAAAAUGAAGUUCUACUGGUGGCCAAGCUUCAACACCGGAAUUUGGUUAGGCUUUUGGGAUUUUGCUUGGAAGGAAAAGAAAGGCUCCUUAUAUAUGAGUUUGUGCCUAACACCAGCCUCGAUCAUUUCCUUUUUAGUAAGGAUGCAAAUCUACUUUGUUUUUGUUUUAACUUAAUAUUUCAGAUAACAUAGUUUGAAAAAAUUGAGAUAAUUGUAUGAAUGUAUAGAUCAAAACAGGCGGCAAAUGCAUUUGGAUUGGCAUAGGCGUUAUAAGAUCAUUGGUGGUAUUGCUAAAGGACUUCUUUACCUUCACGAGGAUUCUCGGUUACGGAUAAUUCACCGUGACAUGAAAGCGAGCAAUAUUUUGCUAGAUGCAGAGAUGAACCCGAAAAUUGCAGAUUUUGGCAUGGCAAGAUUGUUUGCGGUGGAUCAAACUCAAGGCAAUACAAGUAGAAUUGUGGGUACCCAGUAAGUAUCUAAACAACACAAAAAAUAAUGAUAAUAAUAAAUAAAUAAAACAUCGUUCAAUACAUAUUUAAAAUCUAAACUUAUGUAAAUUUGUAUACAGUGGCUAUAUGGCUCCAGAGUAUGCAAUGCAUGGUCAAUUCUCAGUUAAAUCAGACGUAUUUAGCUUUGGUGUGCUGCUUUUAGAGAUUGUAUGCGGUCAAAAGAAUAGUAACUUCCGUAAUGGGGAGAAUGUAGAAGAUAUUUUGAGCUAUGUAAGUAUAUAAUUCUGUGAUCCAACGGACGGUCUCUUCAAUCGUCCUAAAUGAAACCUUAAUUGAUAAACCUUACAUGCAGGCAUGGAAAAACUGGAGGGAAGGGACAUACAUGAAUCUUAUAGAUCCUAUACUGAGAACAUCUGGCUCGACAAAUGAAAUGAUGAGGUGCAUCCACAUUGGAUUACUGUGCGUUCAAGAAAAUGUGGCUGAUAGGCCAAACAUGGCAUCAGUAGUUCUGAUGCUAAGCAGCUAUUCUCUUACUCUACCUGUACCCUCAAAACCAGCAUUUUUUAUGCACAGCAGCACUCAAUCAGAUGUGUCUUCUUCACUGGGGUGUAGCUCCAGGGCGUCAGAAACAGAGUCCUCACAAUUUAAAAUUGGAACUCUUCCAUUAUCAGUGAAUGAAGUUUCAAUUACUGAAUUGUUUCCUCGUUAAAGAUUUGAUAAAGUUCAUAUUUUUAGUUUGUCAUUUGUUGCGUGUGUAUUAUUGAUUUCCAGUUUGAAUUCUGAUAAUAUUAACUUCUGUUUGCGUCAACAGUAAUCCACUGCUUUCCUCUAAUAAUACGUAUUUGACUAGUCCAUUAUAAUUUAUUUAGUAAUUGUAAUUUGGUUUCUUUUGGAAAAUAAAAUUCAAAGCUGUCGUGUUGUAUGAAACUCCAGUCAAAUAAAUGGACAAAAAAAAAUGAAAGUUAGCGGGUUUCCGCCGCAGAGACGUGGGAGGCUUGUCCUGACCACUUCUGUCACCAUCAAUAUUUUAAUACACUAUUAUCUUAUGUGUAUUGAAAAAAAUGUUAUUUUUUUUUUAUUGGACAUAUUAGUUAAGUAUUAUACACUUUGACUCUCCGAGUCGAUUAACGGGACAAUAUUCUUAAAGGAACAUAAGAAAAAUAGUGAUAAUGUUAAUUAUUUAUUUGGUUUUUUUGUAUGAAGAUAAGUAAUUUUUCUAAUAAAAUAUCAUUUCUUAUUGCCUUUAUAUAUACGGAUUGGAUAGUCUUUGACAUAGCUGGGGCGAGCUACAUGCCGGUUAAUUCCCCAGUGGUCCAAAUAAUUUUGUUGGGAAACGGACUGAAAUUGUAAAACGUAAACCCAUGUGAUUCUAAACGGGCUUUUGUAUCCCAAAUACCCAUGACCCAGAAAAUUUUAAUCAUUUAAGCAGACACGAUAUAAUGUUUGACUGCAGAGAAAUUUCGAAUGAAACGGCAUCGUAGCUGGAUUGACAUCAGAAAAACAAAAAGAACUAUUAAAUUCAAAAGUAAACGACCCGGUCAAGAGUUGCUAAACCUACAAUAUAUUCAUAACUAGCGCCAGUUCUAGCCCUCCAUUGAUGCUAAUUAAAAAUGAUAAGAAACUUCCAUUUGUCCAAGCAUAGGAUAGUUUUUAUUUUCUUGCAAGCCUACAAGCAUAUUCUCAGCUCUUACAAGCUCAAUCAAUUGUCAAGCACCUUACAAUACCCAUAUCUGUCAAGGUGCAGGUAAUGACACUGCAAGUGCCAAUUUCAAAUCAGAACUAAUUGCCCUUUUCAAUUCUCUAUCUUCUAAGUAAUAAAGGAUAAAUAUUAGAAUCAUAUUCUUUUGUAUCUGUAUCAGAUUUUGCUACUUUGAUUUCUGCAAAUAUUUGCAUUCCUGUAAAUCCUCUAAAUCUGUUGAGAUAUUCUUGGAAAGUGGUUGAGUAUUUAUCUAUAUAAACUCACUCCUUAUGUGAAUAACAUACACAAAAACUUUUCUCAUCUAUUAUUCUUCUUAUGGUAUCAGAGCAUUAAGCUCAUACGAGCCCAUUUUUUUUUCACUUCCUGCUUCUCUUCUACUGCCAUGGCUGACAACACUCCCGUUGUUAAUGCUGAUCACACAGCUACUUUAGCUAUAAUUGUCCAAUUCAACCCAGCCACUCAACUACCCAUAAAACUUCUUGGCAGUCAUAAUUUUGCCACAUGGAAAGCUCAAAUCUCCAUGCUUUUACAUGGCCAUAACCUUUUUGGUCAUCUUGAUGGUUCAUUGCCAGCUCCUCCUACCACAGUUACCAUAACAAAUCAACCCGCCCCAAAUCCUGCAUACGGACCAUGGUUUCGUCAAGAUCAGCUCAUCCAAAAUGCUCUGUUAGCGUCAGUAGAUCCAACUCUUGCCUCUACUGUUGCUGCAGCACCCUCAUCACACGAAGCUUGGCAAUCUCUCCAUACUGCGUUUGCCAACAAAUCUCAGACUAGAAUUUUUAGUCUUCGAGAUCAACUAGCUCGCAUCAACAAAGAUUCACGACCUGUCACUGAUUAUUUACGUGAUGUACGCUCUCUUUCUGAUGAAGUUGCCAUUGCUGGAGCCCCAGUUAGCAACGAAGAACUCAUUGUUAAGAUCCUUCAUGGUCUUGGUCCUGAAUUUCGAGAAAUUUCUGCUGCUAUUAGAUCCAGAGACACAGUUGUCACUUAUGAAGAGCUAUAUGAAAAAUUACUUGAUCAUGAGUUGUUCAUCCAGCAUGAGGAAUCUAAGAAGUUGCCAUCGAUUACUGCUGCAAUAGCUCACAGAAACAAUCAACCUUCUCGCAACAACCAUAACAAUCGACGACCGGGAAAUACUUACCCCUCGCAUACCCAGCAAUGGCCAUCUCCAUCCAGCCACGAAACACAAAACAAUCCCAGAUGGCGCUCUAGAAGAAACCAACAGCAACAAUUUUCAAAUAAUGGGAUUCAAUGCCAAUUAUGUGAGCGUUUCGGUCACUCUGCAAAAGUUUGUCGUUCUCAGUCUCACAAUCACCUCCAAGCUCGAGCUAACUUUGCGAGCCGUCAGUCUCACCAUUCUGAACCAUGGGUUGUUGAUUCUAGAGCUAAUCACCUCAUCACUUCCGAUGCUUAAAACUUAGAACCUGUUCAUGGCUACCAUGGACCAACAAAAAUCUCAAUGGGCAAUGGUAAUACCAUUCCAAUUUCUCAUACCGGUAACACACAUUUAUGUGCAUCAACUUAUAAUUUCAAACUAUUAAAUACAUUAUGUGCUCCUGACAUUAAAAGUAACCUUAUAUCUGUAUCUCAAUUUUGUCAAGACAAUAAAACCUCUAUUGAAUUUUUUUCCUUCUCAUUUCUUUGUGAAGGAUCUGAAUACGAGGGUGCCUCUACUACGCGGGCGGAAUAGAGAUGGACUUUAUGAAUGGCCGGUGAGCCUUACACGCAAAUUUCCUCAAUCCAAUUUGGCUUGUCGACGUCUUCCUCUUAACCCGUGGCAUCGACCUUUAGGACAUCCUAAUCGUCCCGUUCUAAAUAAAUUGCUGCAUAAAUUUUCUAUUCCCUUUUGUGAUUCAAAGACUUUUUCACUUUGUAAUUCGUGUUGCUCUUCAAAGAUGCAUAGGUUGCCUUUUUUUGAAAAUUCCUUACAAAGUCAUAAGCCUAUGCAAAUAAUCUACAGUGAUUCAUGGGGCCCUUCUCCAGUGCUUUCUAUUGAUAAAAAACGUUAUUAUGUUUUGUUUGUUGAUCACUUCUCAAAAUACAUGUGGUUGUACACUAUCAAAGCAAAACAUGAAGUUCAAGGGGUUUUUAAAAUUCUACACCCCUUACUUGAACGACAUUUUCAAACUAAAAUUCUUUCUGUUUAUACAGAUGGUGGUGGUGAAUUUGAUGGACUAUCUAUUUAUUUUAAGACACAUGGUAUUGAACAUUUAAUUUCUCCACCUUACACACCUCAACGCGUAUCCGUAGUUGAGCGUCGACACAGACAUGUUAUUGAAACUGCUAAAACUUUAUUGCAUCAAGCAUCUUUACCCUCUACUUUUUGGAGCUUUGCGUGUCAUCAAGCUGUUUACCUUAUUAAUAGGUUACCCUCACCAACUCUAUAGGACAAUUGUCCAUAUGGACUUUUGUUCAAUGAUGCACCAAAGUUUGAGUCUGUAAAAAUAUUUGGUUGCUUAUGCUAUCCACGGCUUAGGCCAUAUACCAAAAAUAAACUUGAGCCACGUUCAACACCAUGUGUUUAUUUAGGAUUCUCUAACAAAUAUUAUUGCCAUCAAUGUUUUGAUCCUGUUUCUUCAAAAAUAUUUCUAUCCAGGGAUGUAUUAUUUUUUGAAGAUAAUUAUCCUUUUCAAAAUAUCUUUGGUCAUCUUAAAAAUCAUUCUCAGCAUAUUUCUUGGGAACUCACCGUCGAUAACCACAGUCAUAAGGAUUCCUCCUCCACAUCCAAUCCUUGUUUAGAACUUCCACCUCCUGCUAGGUGUUUGCCGCUCGCUUCACAAAGUUCCGUCUCUACCGAACCAGAGAGAGACCUCUCGUUUCAGGUAAUUCUACUUCUUUAUCAUCUCCUGCUUCUUCUACUACUUCUUCUACAUUGGUCCUUACCAUGACUUCUACAACUCCCACCACCACUGACCGAUACAACCUCCUACGACUUCCAGCCACCCCAUGGUUACCCACUCCAAAAAUAACAUACAUAAACCUAAACAAAUAAUCAACCUUCUUGCUACGACCUCUCUUCCACGUUCCUACAAACAAGCUAAACUCCAACCCCAUUGGAACCAAGCCAUGAAAUUAGAGUUUGAUGCACUUGUGAGGAACCAGACUUGGGAUUUAGUGCCUCCUGAUGCUUCUAAAAAUGUGGUUGAUUGUAAGUGGCUAUUUCGUGUUAAGCAUCACCCUGAUGGUUCAAUUGAUAGGUAUUUAUGUUCUUGUUUAUGUGGAUGACAUAAUUGUUACUGGUAGUCACAUGAGUGGUAUUCGGCAUGUUAUCCAUGGUCUCUCCACUCGGUUCUCUCUCAAAGACCUUGGUGCUCUUCAUUAUUUCUUGGGUGUUGAGGUUAUUCCACAUUCUGAUGGAUUGUUCUUAUCUCAACAAAAAUAUAUUAUCGAUCUGUUACAGGAUGUUAAUAUACAAGACAGUAAAGGAGUUCCUACACCAAUGUCUUCUUCCACUGUGUUUGGUAUUUCACCCGAUGACCCUCUUGUUGAUGGUUCUUAUUAUCGCAGAGUUGUAGGAAAAUUACAAUAUUUAUCCUUUACUCGGCCGGACAUCGCCUUCGCGGUCGAUAAACUUUCUCAAUUCAUGCACUGCCCCAAAGAAACUCACUGGAAGGCUGUCAAACGCCUCAUUCGGUAUCUCAAACACACCUCCUCAAUUGGUCUUCAGAUUUUUCAUCACCAUGAUAAUCGAUUACUUGUGUACUCUGACUCUGAUUGGGCCGGUGAUCCGAUUGAUCGAACCUCUACUACUAGUUAUGUUGUUUAUUUUGGUGGCACUCCAAUCUCUUGGUCCUCAAAGAAACAACGAUCUGUCUCUCGCUCUUCUACUGAGGCUGAAUACCGAGCUGUUGCGGGUGCACUUGCUGAAACUAAUUGGCUUACCAAUCUUUUACAUGAACUUCGUGUUUCUCUAUCUGCCAUUCCACGGAUUUUUUGUGAUAAUGUGGGUGCCACCUAUCUUUGUGCGAACCCUAUCUUUCAUAGUCGUAUGAAGCAUGUUGCCAUCGAUUUUCAUUUCGUGCGUGAUCAGGUACAAAACAAAGAGAUAGAGGUCAAGCACUUACAUUCUGCUGAUCAGGUAGCUGAUAUCCUCACUAAACCUCUCCCACGUUCCACCUUCAAUCGCAUGUUUACCAAGUUGGCACUUCUUGAUAUCACCACCAACUUGCGGGGGCAUAAUAAAGGAUAAACAUUAGAAUCAUAUUCUUUUGUAUCUGUAUCAGAUUUUGCUAUUUUGAUUUCUGCAAAUAUUUGUAUUCCUGUAAAUCCUCUAAAUCUGUUGAGAUAUUCAUGGAAAGUGGUUGAGUAUUUACCUAUAUAAACCCACUACUUAUGUGAAUAACAUACACAAAAACUUUUCUCAUCUAUUAUUCUUCUUACUAAGGCCACGCUCAACACCUUCUACAAUGAUUCAUCAAAUGGAGUUUACAGCCUCUACUUAUGCAGCGGCGAUGUUUCAAAUACCGCCUGUAAACUCUGUAUUGAUGCUGCUAUUCAAGGAAUCCAACAGCGCUGCGCCUCCAAUAAAUCUGCAAUCAUAUGGUAUGAUCAGUGUAUGUUACGUUACUCUAAUACCAACUUCUUAGGGGUGGCAGAGACUUUCCCAAGGUUGCUCAUGUGGAAUGUCCAAAACACUACCUCACCUGAGGAACCAAACUAUGGGGCACUGGCACUAAUUUACACGUUAAUAGAUUACGUUCCAUCGUCAAAGAUAAUGUUUGGGACAAAUGAAUCAGCAACUGCUAAUGGGUCACAGAAAAGAUAUGCUUUGGUGCAGUGCACUAGAGAUAUUAAUAGCAGUGCUUGUAGUUCGUGUCUGGGGCAAUUGAGUGAUGCUGACAAAGAUUGUUGCCAAGCAAAGAUUGGUUGGCGUAUUUUAGCCCCAAGCUGCAAUUUAAGGUAUGAGGAGAGACCAUUCUAUCAACCACCAACACCAAGACCAGUGCCCGCAGCUCCAGAGCCGGUGCCUGAUAAUGGUGAGUCAAAUAUGAAUAUUUGGUUGAAGAAAUUAGACGCUGACAUGAAUCCAAAAAUCUCAGAUUUUGGCAUCGUAAGAUUGUUUGUAAUGGAUCAAACUCAAGGCAACACAAGUAGAAUUGUUGGAACCUAGUAAGUAUUAUAUAUAUUUUUAAUUAUAGCCAAUUGAAAAUAAUCUAGGCAUGUCAAUAUAAAUGUUUUUGGUGUACAGUGGCUAUAUGGCUCCAGAGUAUGCAAUGCACGAGCAAUUUUCAGUCAAAUCAGACUUAUUUAGCUUCGGUGUUCUAAUUUUGGAGAUUUUGAGUGGUCAAAGAAAUAAUGGUUUCCGCAAUGGAGAGAACAUAGAGGAUCUUUUGAGCUAUGUAAGUAAAUUUAAGUUUUACGUAUCUAUUCAACAAAAUAUUGAAAGUACUGCCCCUUUCCUUAACUAAGAACCUGUAUAAAUUCUGCAGGCAUGGAGAAAUUUUAGGGAAGGCACAUCUAUGAAUCUUAUAGACCCAACUUUGAGGAGUGGUUCAAGAACUGAAAUGAUGAGAUGUGUCCAUAUUGGAUUACUAUGUGUUCAGGAAAAUGUAGUUGAUAGGCCAAACAUGGCUUCAGUUGUUCUUAUGCUAAAUAGCUAUUCUACUACUUUACCUUUACCUUCAGAGCUUGCAUUUUUUAUGCACGGCAGCACUCAAUCAGAUGUGUCUUCUUCAGCAAGCUACUAUUCAAAAAUGACAGAAUCCUCGCAUUCGAAAAUUGAAACUCUUCCAUUGUCUAGAAAUGACUCAUCAGCUAUUACGAAUUUAUAUCCUCUGUAGGAAAUUAUUUUUGAAAACAAAUUUUGGUUGUUGUAUUUAUAUUGAUUAUUUCAAAUAUUUUGUAGCUAUUUUACGUUUGUGUGUAAUUUUGACGAUUUAUUCAAAGAUUCAAAAAAUAGACAUAUUGUGUACCGAUAGAGAUAUAUAGAUCAAACUAAAUAAAUAAUAGAAUUUUUAUUGAAACGAAAAUAUUUCUGACUAAACACCGGAAAAAAAUAAUGAAGUAGAAACAAUUUUUUUAACCAAAAUUUUUAAUUUAAUCAAUUAGGCAGUUAUAUAUGUCUAAUUCCUUUGUAAUGAUAAUGAAUAUUAAUAAUUUCUCUCUCUUUCUUUUACUUUCAAAAAUAUUAAUAUUUUUUUAUGAUUAGUUGAAUAAUUAAUUUUGGCCAAUAGGCAGUUCGGCUUUUUUCUUUUGGAAAUGAUAACCAAGUCAACGGUGAAAUUAUGACUUUUUUGUUCUGGUGGACCAAGUAGUAGUUUUAUUAAAUUGGGCCUGGGCCCUAUAGAAGGAUUAGGGAAGAGUGCAUACAUGGGCUAUAAGGAAAGACAAUCUAAAGUGGGCAGUGUAGUGAUUACAAUUCACAAGCGUAAUAAAGUCAACAAAAUAAUGUGUUAAUGGGAAUUUAACAAUCGAUUCAGUUAAAUUUUGGGUCUUCCUUUUCCACAUUCUGCAAUAUCUCAUCUCAACUGCUCAAGAAUCAAAAUCGCGAAUAGCAUAAUCAUGCGCUGUAUAGAAUUUGUUUGUCUUAUUUUCUAUCUCCUCAUUGGCAUAAACCUUGCCGAUGCUCUUUUGAAAUGUUACGACACAGGAAACUUCACAGCCAACAGUACAUACGCCAAUAAUCGAGCUCUCAUCCUUUCUUCUUUAGCUUCAAACGUCACAGCAAAUGGAGGUUUCUACACCACAACAGUAGGCCAAGGAACAAACAAAAUUUAUGGUCUGGUGCUUUGCAGAUAUGACUAUUCACAAGAAGCUUGCUUCAAAUGUGUCGACGAUUCAAUUGAAAAGCUGACCACAACAUGUCCUCACCAGAAAGAAGCAGUGAUAUGGACUGGGAAUGCUUGUAAAAUACACUACGCGAAUCGCUCAUUUUUGGGACAGCUGGAGGUAGAUCCUUCCGAGACUGGCUAUAAUAUCGCUGACCUCCCAUCUAGUAUUAAUAUGUCUGAGUUUGAUCAGACUUGGACUAGUUUGAUGGAAAGCUUAGCAACGAAAGCUUCUAUGUCCAAUUCUACGCUUAAGACUGCGACAGGAGAAUCAGACGUCCGAUCCUUUCCAAGAAUAUAUGCAGCAAUGCAGUGUAGCCCUGAUUUAUCCCAGAGCAAUUGCAGCUAUUGUCUACGACAGGCACCAAGUGCUUAUAAUAAGUGUUGCCAUGGGAAGCAAGGAGGUUAUGUUAGGAAGCCUAGUUGUACAUUCAGAUGGGAUUUGUACUCAUUCUAUGCUCCUGUUGCUGGACCUCCAACACCAUCUUCUCCAUCUAAUAUUUCUCCCCCUUUCAAUAAUACAAGAAAAGGUAACCGUGCUUUAGAAUCUGAAUUAUUAAUUACUUUACUCUUUCAGUUUGUUUUAAGAAUAGGUAUCUGAUUUUCUUUUUUUUCUUCUUUUUUUUUUUUUUUUUUUUUUUAUAAAUUAGCCAUAACCUAAUGGGAUCAGACCGGCUAUUCGCAGGAGAGAAGAGCAAUAAACCACGGAGGAUUGCUAUCAUAGUUGUUCCAAUAAUUGUUGGUACUGUUUUCAUCUGUUUCUGCAUUUUUCUAAGAGUUGGUAAGCAAAAGGAAAAACUUGAAAGUAAGUAAAAAUUGGCUUACCUAAAUUCUAUUGUUAUUUUACAAGUCAAAUGCGAUAGUAAAGCCAGUUACUUUACUUUUAAAAAAAUUAAUAAAAAUAAAAAUUGAGAUGUCGGGCAUUAACCAUUGGCUUUGCACCUCUCAUGAAGCUCUUGAAGUGGAUGAAAUCAAAACGAUGGAGUCGUUGCAAUUCGAUUUCGGGACUAUUAGAGUUGCAACAAAUAACUUUUCUGAGGAUCAUAAGCUUGGACAAGGUGGAUUUGGUGCUGUUUACAAGGGUACGCUUUCUGAUGGACAAGAUAUAGCAGUGAAAAGGCUUUCUAAAGAUUCAGGACAAGGAGAUUUGGAAUUUAAAAAUGAAGUCCUACUGAUGGCCAAGCUUCAACACCGGAAUUUGGUUAGGCUUUUGGGAUUUUGCCUGGAAGGAAGAGAAAGGCUCCUUAUAUAUGAGUUUGUGCCUAACACCAGCCUCGAUCAUUUCCUUUUUAGUAAGGAUGCAAAUCUACUUUGUUUUUGUUUUAACUUAAUAUUUCAGAUAACAUAGUUUGAAAAAUUUGAGAUAAUUGUAUCAAUGUAUAGAUCAAAACAGGCGGAUAUUUCAUAUAACAUUGUUGGAGAAAUUUGAGAUAAUUGUAUGAAUGUAUAGAUCAAAACAAGCGGCGAACACAUUUGGAUUGGCAUAGGCGGUAUAAGAUCAUUGGUGGUAUUGCUAAAGGACUUCUUUACCUUCAUCAGGAUUCUCGGCUACGGAUUAUUCACCGUGAUUUGAAAGCAAGUAAUAUUUUGUUAGAUGCAGAAAUGAAUCCGAAAAUUUCAGACUUUGGAAUGGCAAGAAUGUUUAUGAUGGAUCAAACUCAAGGCAACACAAGUAGAAUUGUGGGAACCUAGUAAGUAUCCAAACAGAGUGAGAAAAAAGAAAAUUUUAAAAAAAAAAAAACUAAACUUAUAAAUCAAUCAUUCAAUACAUGUUUAAAAUUUAAAAUUGUAUAAAUUUGUAUAGAGUGGCUAUAUGGCUCCAGAGUAUGCAAUGCAUGGUCGAUUCUCAGGCAAAUCAGACGUAUUUAGCUUCGGUGUACUGCUUUUAGAAAUUGUAUGUGGUCAAAAGACUAGUUGCUUCCGCAGUGGAGAAAAUACGAAAGAUCUUUUGAGUUAUGUAAGUAUAUCAGUCUUCAGUUAUCCUAAAUGAAAUUUUAAUUGAUAAAUCUUACAUGCAUGCAUGGAAAAAUUGGAGGGAAGGGACAUGCAUGAACCUUAUAGACCCUAUACUUAGGACAUCUAGGUCAACAAAUGAAAUGAUGAGGUGCAUCCACAUUGGAUUGUUGUGUGUUCAAGAAAAUGUGGCUGAUAGACCAAACAUGGCAUCAGUAGUUCUGAUGCUAAGCAGUUACUCUCUUACUCUACCUAUACCUUCACGACCGGCUUUUUUAAUGCUCAACAGCAUUGAAUCAGAUAUAUCAUCUUCACUGUGGUAUAAUUCCAAGGCAUCAAUGAAUGAUGUUUCAAUUACAGAAUUGGUUCCCCGUUAAAUGUUUGACAAGGUUCAUGUUUUAGUUUGUUAUGUGUUGUCUGUGUAUUAUUGAUUUUCAAUUUGAAUUUUGAUAUAUUUACUGUAAAAAAAUUACAGAAUUUGUGUGUCUGAUUUAUGAUAUAAAGUAGAAUUCGUAAUCCUUUUUAGUGAUUAACUGCAAUCACACACUCAAAUACGAAAUUUGAAUGUAUAAAAGAGGGAUUACAUUUUUCUCUCGGUCUCCUUAUCCACAAGGCAAUUAUUCAAUGAGAUUAGUCAAUAUUAAGAUUAAGAAAAUAGAUGGGAUCUACUUAUUUUUAUAGAAUUUUAUGGAUCUCCCCAUCACAAGUCCAUUAGGAUGUACAAACUCGUUUCACAUGUGAUCACAUAAACCCAAAUUAGACCCUAUAAACAUAUUUUUAAACUAUAUUUAUUCAGUCUAUUUUCGCAAAUUAAAAUAGUUUGACAAUUAAUAGUAGCUUACAUUAAAAUUUUUAACAUUUAACUUGUGUUUGCAUCAUCAGUAAUCCACGGCUUUGCUCUGAUAAUACCAAUAAUGCUUAUUAAAUCUCGUGAAUUUGACUAAAUUGUAAUUUAUUUAGAAUGGUCCGUCUUAUUCGAUUUAAUAAUUGUAGUUUUGUUUCUUUUUUUCUUAUCCCUUCGUAUUAGAAUAUUGUUUGGACAAUGCCUCUUUGAAGAUAAAAUUCAAAGUUGUCGUUUUGUAUCAUUGUAUGAAACUCCAGUCAAAUAAACGGACAAAAAAAAGAUGAUAGCGUGUUCCUGUCGCAUCAAUAUUUUAAUACACUGUUAUUAUAUUUGUACGUGUAAAAAAAAAUGUUAAUUAAUCUAUAAAUCUCUAAAUUUUGCAACUUCCUUGACAACGAAAUCUGAAUAUGUAAAAAAAAACUUUUAAAUUUAAUACCUAAUAAAUAUAUUUUUAAUGGGAAGCAAAAAUUUUAAUGGUGACUAAAUUUUCAGUCCAAUAAUUUGGAGAGUAAAAGAUAUGUUAUUAAAUUUUUAGUUUGUUAAAAGAAAAAGUAGUCUUAAUUUCAUUAAAAUAAAACAGUGAUAAUAUUAAUUAUUUAUUUGUUUUCUUGUCUGAAAAUAAAUAACUUUUCUAAUAAGAUAUUAUUGCCUUUACACAUACGGAUUGGAUAGGCUUUGACAUAACUGGGCCAAGCUUCAUGCCAGUUAAUUGCCCAGUGGUCCAAAUAAUUUAAUUGGGAGAAAUUAACGACGCAGCGGACUGAAAUUGUAAAACGUAAGCCCAUGUAUUCUGGACCGGCUUUUGUAUCCCAAAUACCCAUGACCUAGAAAUAGGAUGUGUCCCUAGCCACUGAACCGAUGGCACCGGCACCACCUGCAAUCACCACCAUCACUAUGGAAAUUGUCGCCGUAGGUGGCGAUGUAUCUCGCCAUAGCCAUUCUUUCCGUUUCUUCUACCGUCACCAACCGCUUUCUCCAUUUCCAUAAUCACCAAUUCUCCUGGGAUUUUAGCCAGCUCCAAAUUAGUUAAAUUUAGUUAAAGUUUUAGCUAAAAUUAAAGAAGUUUUGGCUAUAAUCCCUUUUGUGAGUAGAUGAAAUUAAUUUCAAAUUUUCAAUAUUAUUACCCAUUCUUUGAAGUCUAUUAUAUGGAUUAUUCGAGUCCCUUUCACAUUUAUAAUUAAGACCACUCAUAAAAGGCAAUACUUUCAAUACCUUCUCAUUCUUCUUCUUCUUAUUAUUAUUAUGUAGAGCCAGAGGAGAAAAGUAUUGAUUCUGAUGGGAGUGGAAAUACUUGCUUUUACUCUAUUUACUUUUUUCUUUUUUUUAUUUUUUUUUUAGGAAACCAUAACCAAGUCAAGUCGUCGCUUGAUCAAAGUGAGCCUGAGCCGUAUAGAAGGAUUAAGGAAGAGUGCAGAGAUUGGCUGUAAGGAAAGACAAUAUAAAGUAGUUAGUGCAGUGAAUACAAUUCACAAGCGUGAUAAAGUCAAUACAGUGAUAGGUUGGUGAUUGUUAAUGAGAAUUUAACAAUCCAUUCAGUUCAAUUUUGGGUUUGGGGCUUCUUUUCCACAUCCUGCAAUAUAAUUUUGGGUUUGGGGCUUCCUUUUCCACAUCCUGCAAUAUCCCAUCUCAACUCCUCAUGAAUCAAACUUGCGAAUAGUAUAACCAUGCGCUGUAUAGAUUUUGUUUGUCUUAUUUUCCAUCUUCUGAUUGGCAUCAACCUUGCCAAUGCUCUGUUGAAAUGUUAUAACACAGGAAACUUCACAGCCAAAGGUACAUACGCCAAUAACCGAGCUCUCAUCCUCUCUUCUUUAGCUUCAAACGUCACAGCGAAUGGAGGUUUCUACACCACUACUGUAGGCCAAGGGGCGGAUAAAAUUUAUGGUCUGGUGCUUUGCAGAUUUGACUCUUCAUCAGAAGAUUGUUCCAAAUGCGUCAAUGUUGCAAUUGAAGAUAUAACCACAAAAUGUCCUAACCAGAAAGAAGCACUGAGAUGGGAUGGGGAUCCUCCUUGCAGAAUACACUACGCGAAUCGCUCAUUUUUCGGACAGCCGGAGAUAGAACCCACCGAUGCUGGUUAUAAUACCGGUAACCUUCCGUCUAAUAUUAAUAUGUCUGAGUUUGAUCAGACUUGGACUAGUUUGAUGGCAAGCUUAGCAACGAAAGCUUCUAAGUCCAAUUCUACGCUUAAGACUGCGACAGAAGAAUCAGACGUCAAGCCCCUUGAAAGAAUAUUUGCACUAAUGCAGUGUACUCCUGAUUUAUCCUCGAGCGAUUGCAGCUAUUGUCUACAACAGGCAGCAGCUGCUUAUAGUAACUGUUGCCAUGGGAAGCAAGGAGGUUAUGUUACGAAGCCUCGUUGUACACUCCGAUGGGAUUUGUACCCAUUCUAUACUCCUAUAGCUGAACCUCCAACGCCAUCUCCUCAACCUCUACUUAGUAUUUCUCCCUCUUCAAUCAAUAAUACAAUGAAAGGUAGCUAUUGUUAA
Molecule: long non-coding RNA, 14984 nt
Filed under: Jatropha curcas
Lineage: Eukaryota; Viridiplantae; Streptophyta; Magnoliopsida; Malpighiales; Euphorbiaceae
Description: long non-coding RNA (JCUR_LNC003326)
Source: RNAcentral